RNAcentral lists this long non-coding RNA (1336 nucleotides) under Ursus maritimus (polar bear). RNAcentral's name for it is "lncRNA (ENSUMAG00000004885.1)". The record is from RNAcentral. Lineage: Eukaryota; Metazoa; Chordata; Mammalia; Carnivora; Ursidae.
CGUACAUUUUUUUAGACACAAUGCUCUUGCGUAGUUAAUAGAAAGUUACACAAUACUACAGUAUUGUGUAAACAUAAUUUUUAUAUGCACUGGGAAAGGAAAAAAAUGACUAGCUUUAUUGUCACAAUCGCCUUAUUGCAGGGGUUUGGAACCAAACGGGCAGUACCUCUGAGGUAUGCCGUGUCUCACUGCAUUCACAGUAGGGGUUAUCUCUGCACAGCAAGGAGCGGCACAAAAACUUCAAAAGUCGGGUGACUUCCAACUGAACACAGCAGGGCUUCUGGCGAUCUGGAUUGUUGCUGAACUGAAGUUGGUAGAGCACUCUGGGUGGGUUAUUUGGAUACUGAUAACAUCCGUUUUUUGCAAGUCAGUGCUUGCUUAAGACCUUUGUUAUGAUCUUGAGAUAGAAGUAGUAAGACUCCAUGUGCUCUUUCGGUCUGUACGUUCCGGGCAUUUCUGUUUUGGGAAGCUUCCCUUCCUUUCUUCACAUUUAAUUCAUUCCUUAGUAAUUCAACAAAUCUUUAUUGAGUGUAUAUGUGUGCUGGACAGGGUAUGGAGUGCUUGAAAUGGACUUCAGCACGUCUGAGUUCCUGCCCUCAUGGAGUGGGUCUAGCAGAAGGCCUGAUCUUACCAGAAAAUCAAACAUUUAACUUGGAUCUGUGACAGAGUCUAUGGGGGAGAGUCCAGGGUGAGCACAUUUAGCAGGGGGUUUGGGAAAGGCUUCCCCUAAGGGAUGACCUGCAAGAUGACUGAAGACUAGGGGAAGGUGUGGGUUUGGGUCCAGGCAACCUGGGAGCAAGUCCAGGGCCAGCCGCUGGCAGUUUGAGGCGACUGGCAGAAAAUAUGCAGCUGACAUGGUAAGAACACACAAGGGGUUUGCAGAAGUGGGCAAGCCAGGAAAUGGGGGUCUCCGAGGCUGUGCUCAGGAUUUUGGACUUGACCUAUGAGCAAGGCGAGCUGCCCAGGGGCUUUAGCUGGAGGUGAACAUACCAGCUUUAUGUAUUUUUCAGUCACUUAGGCUGCCAUUUGGGGGGGGGAGGAUAGCAAAGGGAGUCCAUGAGGAGAGGGGAGUCAGGUGGUGUCCAGAGGUCGGUGAGACAGGGGGUAAAAACUUGAGAACCGUCACAGUAGAGGCGGCAGGUAAAGUUAGGACUGGAGGACAUACUGUUCACUAAAGAGGCGAUGUUAACCCCAACCCUAACCUGUUCUUAGUAGUACCAUUUGGUCUUUAAAAAAAAAACCAACAUAAUUAGCCUAGACGUUUCCCCAGAUAGUAUUUUUGACAAAGUAAGUGAAAAUUAAUAAAGGGAAAUUUCACUAAAAUGGAGUUGGGAGG